RNAcentral lists this ribosomal RNA (493 nucleotides) under uncultured Nocardioides sp. Its description in RNAcentral is "bacterial SSU rRNA". It matches the Rfam family "Bacterial small subunit ribosomal RNA", at positions 1 to 507 of the family's 1533-position model. Lineage: Bacteria; Bacillati; Actinomycetota; Actinomycetes; Propionibacteriales; Nocardioidaceae. The record is from RNAcentral.
UAGAGUUUGAUCCUGGCUCAGGACGAACGCUGGCGGCGUGCUUAACACAUGCAAGUCGAGCGGUAAGGCCUUUCGGGGUACACGAGCGGCGAACGGGUGAGUAACACGUGAGUAAUCUGCCCUCCACUUGGGGAUAAGCACUCGAAAGGGUGUCUAAUACCUGAUAUGACAUGGGCCUGCAUGGGUUUGUGUGGAAAGUUUUUUUCGGUGGGGGAUGUGCUCGCGGCCUAUCAGCUUGUUGGUGAGGUAAUGGCUCACCAAGGCUUCGACGGGUAGCCGGCCUGAGAGGGUGACCGGCCACACUGGGACUGAGACACGGCCCAGACUCCUACGGGAGGCAGCAGUGGGGAAUAUUGGACAAUGGGCGGAAGCCUGAUCCAGCAACGCCGCGUGAGGGAUGACUGCCUUCGGGUUGUAAACCUCUUUCGUCCCUGACGAAGCGCCUGUAAGGGUGGUGACGGUAGGGGAAGAAGAAGCACCGGCCAACUACGUG